GCUUUUCCUUUGCCUUCUGCCAUGAUUGUAAGUUUCCUGAGGCCUUCCCAGCGAUGUGGAACUGAAACCACACAUUCAAAAUAAUGCUAACCUGUCAAGUUAUUGAUCUGCACUGUACAUAUUUCCUGGUCAUAGGCAGCUUCCACACAAGAACAUCUGGAUGCAAAUUAAAGAAUUCAAUUACUCAAGCCUAAGUGAUAGAGGAGACCUCGGCUACUCUGCCUGAGCACAUCACUGCUGGAUCUCAAAAUCUGCAAGAACUUCCUAGGGCUUCAGGAACUUUCAUGUGCAUACCAGUCACCUGGGAAUCUUGUUACGAUGCAUAUUCUUUUUCAGUAAGCCCAAAUUCUGCAAUUCUUAUAAGGUCUUAGGGGACAUGAUGUUUGCUUCUAGUGGUCCAUGGUCUACUCCUGAAGGUCCACCAUGCCCAGCUUCAUCUCCCCACCCUCUGGAAACUCUCCUGUACCCAAGCCACUUGCUCUCUUCUAAAUAGGCAUUGUGUUCCCAUGUUCCCAUGUGUCUGCCUCUUUCAACUUCUCCUCUAAAAAUUCUCCAUGACCCCCAAGCAUAAGCCUCCAGCAGCAAGCUCAAAAAUGCUUUCUACUCUGUUGUGUUGCCCGGCCCACUUCAAGAGUAGAUGCUCAAUUCCUUCUUCCCCUAGUCGUAUUUGCUGCUACUUUUGCAGGCUGCUGGAACACUUUCACUCUGAGGAUUCUGAUGAACACAGUUCUUGCCCUCUUCACUUUUCCAAUCUGGUUGCAGGCACAGCGGGGGACAGCAGGAGUGCAACACAGUAACUUAAUAUAAUAUGGAGCUGCUAUUAUGGAGGGAAACAUUCACUGCUCUGAAAGGACUCAACAGCUGAGUCUUAAAGAAGGAUUUUACAAGAUUGACAAAGAAAUGGGUUAUCUCCAGAUAGGAAGGAAAAAUCACAAGGAAUAGUACAGCAAGGAAAGAGGAAACAGCACUGGACUUGGGGAAAAGGGAAAUCCUUGAGAUGUUGCUAAGGCAUAAAGAGCAAGACAGAGAGUGUCAGAAGAUGACACUGACGUCACCUGACUCCUGCUGCUGAGCUUCUCUGACAUUUUCUCAAGGGCUCAAGGCUUGGAUACCCUCUGAUAUGGUUUAUCUGUGUCCCCGCCCAAAUCUCACCUUGGUUUGUAAUCAUCUCCAUGUGUCAAGAAUGGGACCAGGUGGAGAUAAUUGAAUCAUGGGGGCAGUUUCCCACAUACUGUUCACAUGGUAGUAAAUAAGUCUCAUGAGCUCUGAUGGUUUUAUAAAUGGGAGUUCCCCUGCACAGGCUCUUUUUGCCUGCCACCAUGGAAGACACCCCUUUGCCCUUCCUUUAUUUUCUGCCACAAUUGUGAGGCCUCCCUAGCUAUGUGGAAUUGUGAGUGCAUUAAACCUCUUUCCUUUACAAAA
This 1422-nucleotide long non-coding RNA is filed under the name Homo sapiens (human). Its description in RNAcentral is "non-protein coding lnc-TRIB1-4:1". Lineage: Eukaryota; Metazoa; Chordata; Mammalia; Primates; Hominidae. The record is from RNAcentral.